AUGUCAAUGGCUGACUAUCUCAAACAAAUCAAAGAGCUGGCGGAGAUGCUUGCAGACGCUGGUGCUCCUGUGGAAGAUCGCGACCUUCUUCAUCUACACAUCCUGCCGGGAUUGCCAGAGGAGUAUAAUCCCUUUCGUGCAUGGAUAAACAACAAUCCUCUAAUAAGUUUUUGGGAUGAGUUUCAAGACUUACUGUUGAAGGAGGAAGUACAUCUGGAUGAACAGAGCAGAAGUGCUGCCAUAAAUCAUUAUCAGGAUGGCCGAGAAGAAGACCAUGCCAUCGGGAUCGAUCUGGGAACAACGUACUCCCGAGUAGCCGUGUGGCAGAAGGAUCAUGUGGAAAUCAUACUGAAUGAUCACGGGAACAGGAAGACUGCAUCUUAUGUUGCCUCCGUAGAAGCUGAUGAGACUGUUUUGGUAGGCGAUGCAGCAUUUAACCAAGUCGUCAGAAACACCGCCAACUCAAUUUUUGAUACAAAGAGGUUAAUCGGUAGGAGAUUCAGUGACACCUCUGUUCAAAGUGAUGUGAAGCUCUGGCCAUUCAAGGUCAUUGAAGGCCCAGGCGACAAGCCCAUGAUUUUGGUUACCCACAAUGGCCAAGAGAAACAAUGUUAUGCUGAAGAUAUCACAGCCAUGGUUCUUGAUAAGAUGCGGAAGAUUGCCGAGAACUACCUGGGCUCAACUGUGAAAAGUGCAGUAAUCACUGUCCCUGCUUACUUCGGUGACUCACAGCGUCGGGCAACAAAAGCUGCUGGUCUUUCUGCAGGCAUAAAUGUGAUGCGUAUUAUGAACGAACCGAGCGCUGCGGCCAUUUCUUUUGGCCUUUACAAGAAGGCCGGGUGGAGUAGCCCGCGAAACGUGAUGAUAUUUGAUUUGGGUGGUGGCACUUUAGAUGUGUCCUUGCUUACCAUGAGCACUUCUGGUGACUUUCAAGUCAAGGCAACGGCUGGAGACACUCACCUUGGCGGCCAAGACUUCGAUAACAGAUUGGUGAACUACUGUGCUGAGAAAUUCAAGAGGGAGCAUAAAUUGGACGUUAGUGGAAACAAGAGAGCUCUUAGGAGGUUAAAAAAUGAAUGUGAGAAGGCAAAGAAGAGACUCUCAUUUGAGUCUGACAUUGACGUUGAAAUUGACUGUUUGUGUGAGAAUACUGAUUUCACCGUAACUUUUACUCGUGCCAUAUUUGAACAAGUAAACAUGGAUUUAUUCAUCAAGUGUAUGGAUCCUGUGAAAAAGUGUUUGGCGUAUGCAAAAAUGAACAUAAACGGUGUCGAUGAUGUUCUUCUUGCUGGCGGCUCUUCUAGAAUUCCAAUGGUGCAGCAGCUAUUACAGAAGUUUUUCAAGGGGAAGGAGCUGUGCAAGGGCGUCAAUCCAGAUGAGGCAGUGGCUUAUGGUGCCGCUAUUCAAGCCGCAGCCUUGAGUGGGAAUGGAAAGGGGAAUUUGCAUGUCGUCGUAGUAGUAAAGUGAGAAAAAUUAGUAAUGGCAGAAGAUAACCAUGCAAUUGGGAUUGAUCUGGGGACAACUUAUUCGUGUGUGGCAACGUGGCAGGCUGAUCAUGUAGAAAUCCUGGUGAACGAUCACGGUAACAGGACAACUCGAUCUUAUGUUACAUUCACUGAUAGUAAGAGGUUAGUAGGUGAUGAAGCAUUUAACCAAGCCGGGAGAUUCCCCACCAACUCAAUCUUUGAUGCGAAGCGGUUAAUUGGUAGGAGAUUCAGUGACGAAACUGUUCAAAGUGAUAUCAAGCGCUGGCCAUUCAAGGUCAUUAGAGGUGAGGCUGACAAGCCCAUGAUUGUGAUUAAACACAAGGGCCAAGAGAAACUGUUUGCUGCUGAAGAUAUCUCAUCAAUGGUUUUGGCAAAGAUGCGGGAGAUUGCGGAGGCCUUCCAUUGCUCAAAGAUUAGUGAGAAAAAGGCAGUUAUCACUGUCCCCUCUUACUUCAACGACUCUCAGCGCCAGGCUACAUUAAAAGCUGGUAAAUUAGCCGGCUUAAAUGUGCUGCGUAUUAUCAACGAACCAACUGCUGCAGCCAUAGCUUAUGGCAUCGACAAGAAAGCCGGUUGGUUUAAUAAGAGAAACGUGAUGAUAUUUGAUUGGGGUGGUGGUACAUUGGAUGUGUCGCUACUAACCAUAGGCCAUGGUGUCUUUGACGUGAAGGCGACUGCCGGAGACACUCACCUUGGAGGUGAAGACUUGGAUAACAGAAUGGUGGAUUACUGCGUCGACGAAUUCAAGACAAAAAAUGAGGUGGACAUUUGUGGAAACCCGAAAGCUCUUAGGAAGGCCAAAACCGUGUGUGAGAAAGCAAAGAAGGCACUUUCAUUUUGCUUUGACAUUGAUAUUGUAAUCGACUCUUGGUAUAACGGUGAAGAUUUUAAUACAACUUUCACCCGGGACAAAUUCGAAGAAAUGAACAUGGAUAUCUUCAACAAGUGCAUGGAGCUUGUGAAAAGGUGUUUGAAGGAUGCCAAAAUGGACAUAAGCGACGUCAAUGACGUUGUUCUUGUUGGUGGUUCUUCUAGAAUCCCCAAGGUGCAAGAGCUAUUGCAGAAGUUUUUCAUGGGCAAGGAGUUGUGCAAGAGCAUUAAUCCCGAUGAGGCCGUGGCUUAUGGAGCCGCUGUUCAGGCUGCAGCCUUGAGUGGGAACGUAACUGGGAAGCUUCAAGACUUCACUCUCUUAGACGUCACCCCUCUAUCACUUGGGAUUGAGUGUGGGGAAGAUGGUAGUUCCGAGCUUUUCAUGAAUGUUGUGAUUCCAAGAAACUCAAGAAUUCCGGUGGGGAUGACAACAAGUGUAACUACUCGUUAUGACUACCAAGAGUCUGCUCGCUUCGCCAUUUAUGAGGGUGAAAAUAGAAUCGCCAAAGAUAAUAACUUUUUGGGUGAAUUCACCCUCCAUGGCAUUCCUCCGGCUCCCAGGCAUGUUCCAAAGUUCAAUGUUUACUUUGAUAUGGACGCAAAUGGAGUUUUGAGCGUCUCUGCGGAGGAUAUGUCCACUGGCCAGAAGAAAGGGAUCAAAAUCAACGGUGACAGAACCAAGAACUAACUCUUAAGGGAAUAUAAGGAUUAAGAUAGCAUCUAUAAAAUACUUAUUUGCUCUGAUUUCCUAUAUAUGUUGAAGUGCAAUAUCUAUGUUUAAGAUAGCAUGGAAUAAGGAAGUCGAUAUGAACUUCUUUUGCUGGCUGCUUGUGCAUUUCGUGAUUGGCUGGUUUUUUCUUCUCUGGGUUGGGUGUGGGGAGUGUGCUUUGUAAAAGACUUGCCUGAUUUGUAGC
RNA transcript from Prunus dulcis (almond), 3271 nucleotides. It is a transcript of the gene named heat shock 70 kDa protein 18-like, with no coding region annotated. NCBI's taxonomy places the organism in Eukaryota, Viridiplantae, Streptophyta, Magnoliopsida, Rosales, Rosaceae. The record is from RefSeq and is a predicted model, not a curated record. The transcript is spliced from 5 exons.